AUUGAACGCUGGCGGCAGGCCCAACACAUGCAAGUCGAGCGGAUGAAGGGAGCUUGCUCCUGGAUUCAGCGGCGGACGGGUGAGUAAUGCCUAGGAAUCUGCCUGGUAGUGGGGGAUAACGUCCGGAAACGGGCGCUAAUACCGCAUACGUCCUGAGGGAGAAAGUGGGGGAUCUUCGGACCUCGCGCUAUCAGAUGAGCCUAGGUCGGAUUAGCUAGUUGGUGGGGUAAAGGCCUACCAAGGCGACGAUCCGUAACUGGUCUGAGAGGAUGAUCAGUCACACUGGAACUGAGACACGGUCCAGACUCCUACGGGAGGCAGCAGUGGGGAAUAUUGGACAAUGGGCGAAAGCCUGAUCCAGCCAUGCCGCGUGUGUGAAGAAGGUCUUCGGAUUGUAAAGCACUUUAAGUUGGGAGGAAGGGCAGUAAGUUAAUACCUUGCUGUUUUGACGUUACCAACAGAAUAAGCACCGGCUAACUUCGUG
Molecule: ribosomal RNA, 484 nt
Filed under: uncultured bacterium
Lineage: Bacteria
Description: partial 16S ribosomal RNA
Rfam family: Bacterial small subunit ribosomal RNA
Source: RNAcentral